Molecule: ribosomal RNA, 1039 nt
Filed under: uncultured bacterium
Lineage: Bacteria
Description: bacterial SSU rRNA
Rfam family: Bacterial small subunit ribosomal RNA
Source: RNAcentral
AGAGUUUGAUCAUGGCUCAGGACGAACGCUGGCGGUGUGCCUAAUACAUGCAAGUCGAGCGACGCAUAUCGGAGGGGUAACCCACUGGUAUGACGGAGCGGCGAACGGGUGCGUAACACGUGAGCAACCUGCCCCACAGACCGGGAUAGCCCGAGGAAACUCGGAUUAACACCGGAUACCCUCACCGGACCGCAUGCCUGGUGAGGAAAGACUUUUGUGCUGUGGGAUGGGCUCGCGGUCUAUCAGCUAGUUGGUGAGGUAACGGCUCACCAAGGCAACGACGGGUAGCUGGUCUGAGAGGAUGAUCAGCCACACUGGAACUGAGACACGGUCCAGACUCCUACGGGAGGCAGCAGUAGGGAAUCUUGCGCAAUGGGCGAAAGCCUGACGCAGCAACACCGCGUGAGGGAUGACGGCCUUCGGGUUGUAAACCUCUUUCAGGAGGGACGAAAAUGACGGUACCUCCAGAAGAAGCCCCGGCCAACUACGUGCCAGCAGCCGCGGUAAUACGUAGGGGGCAAGCGUUGUCCGGAAUCAUUGGGCGUAAAGAGCUCGUAGGCGGCUCAGUAAGUCGAUCGUGAAAUACCGGGGCUCAACCCCGGGAGGUCGGUCGAUACUGCUGUGGCUUGAGUCCGGUAGAGGAAGGUGGAAUUCCCGGUGUAGCGGUGGAAUGCGCAGAUAUCGGGAGGAACACCAGUAGCGAAGGCGGCCUUCUGGGCCGGCACUGACGCUGAGGAGCGAAAGCGUGGGUAGCAAACAGGAUUAGAUACCCUGGUAGUCCACGCCGUAAACGAUGGAUACUAGGUGUGGCGGAUCGUCAACGACUGCCGUGCCGAAGCUAACGCAUUAAGUAUCCCGCCUGGGGAGUACGGCCGCAAGGCUAAAACUCAAAGGAAUUGACGGGUCCCCGCACAAGCGGCGGAGCAUGCGGCUUAAUUCGAUGCAACCCGAAGAACCUUACCUGGCCUUGACAUAAUGGGUCUACCCGUGGAAACACGGGGUGCUUUGCGCCCAUUACAGGUGGUGCAUGGCUGUCGUC